GAUGAACGCUGGCGGCGUGCCUAAUACAUGCAAGUCGAGCGAACGGACGAGAAGCUUGCUUCUCUGAUGUUAGCGGCGGACGGGUGAGUAACACGUGGAUAACCUACCUAUAAGACUGGGAUAACUUCGGGAAACCGGAGCUAAUACCGGAUAAUAUUUUGAACCGCAUGGUUCAAAAGUGAAAGACGGUCCUGCUGUCACUUAUAGAUGGAUCCGCGCUGCAUUAGCUAGUUGGUAAGGUAACGGCUUACCAAGGCAACGAUGCAUAGCCGACCUGAGAGGGUGAUCGGCCACACUGGAACUGAGACACGGUCCAGACUCCUACGGGAGGCAGCAGUAGGGAAUCUUCCGCAAUGGGCGAAAGCCUGACGGAGCAACGCCGCGUGAGUGAUGAAGGUCUUCGGAUCGUAAAACUCUGUUAUUAGGGAAGAACAUAUGUGUAAGUAACUGUGCACAUCUUGACGGUACCUAAUCAGAAAGCCACGGCUAACUACAUG
RNAcentral lists this ribosomal RNA (497 nucleotides) under uncultured bacterium. RNAcentral's name for it is "partial 16S ribosomal RNA". It matches the Rfam family "Bacterial small subunit ribosomal RNA", at positions 28 to 507 of the family's 1533-position model. The record is from RNAcentral.